ACUCUAUGAAAAAUGUGGACUGUCCAGAGAAGCAAAAAUGUGGUUCUUUCUGGCUAAGCCACAGAAGAAGUUUCUUUGGACAGCCCUGAAAGGGAACCUAUCCUAUCCUCGGAACCUUCUCCUGCAGUCACACCUGUCACUCCUACUACACUCAUUGCUCCUAGAAUUGAAUCAAAGAGUAUGUCUGCUCCCGUGAUCUUUGAUAGAUCCAGGGAAGAGAUUGAAGAAGAAGCAAAUGGAGAUAUUUUUGACAUAGAAAUUGGUGUAUCAGAUCCAGAAAAAGUUGGUGAUGGCAUGAAUGCCUAUAUGGCAUAUAGAGUAACAACAAAGACUUCUCUUUCCAUGUUCAGUAAGAGUGAAUUUUCAGUGAAAAGAAGAUUCAGCGACUUUCUUGGUUUGCACAGCAAAUUAGCAAGCAAGUAUUUACAUGUUGGUUAUAUUGUGCCACCAGCUCCAGAAAAGAGUAUAGUAGGGAUGACCAAGGUCAAAGUGGGUAAAGAAGACUCAUCAUCCACUGAGUUUGUAGAAAAACGGAGAGCAGCUCUUGAAAGGUAUCUUCAAAGAACAGUAAAACAUCCAACUUUACUACAGGAUCCUGAUUUAAGGCAGUUCUUGGAAAGUUCGGAGCUGCCUAGAGCAGUUAAUACACAGGCUCUGAGUGGAGCAGGAAUAUUGAGGAUGGUGAACAAGGCUGCCGACGCUGUCAACAAAAUGACAAUCAAGAUGAAUGAAUCGGAUGCAUGGUUUGAAGAAAAGCAGCAGCAAUUUGAGAAUCUGGAUCAGCAACUUAGGAAACUUCACGCCAGUGUUGAAGCCUUGGUCUGUCAUAGAAAAGAACUUUCAGCCAACACAGCUGCCUUUGCUAAAAGUGCUGCCAUGUUAGGUAAUUCUGAGGAUCAUACUGCUUUAUCUAGAGCUUUGUCUCAGCUUGCAGAGGUUGAGGAGAAGAUAGACCAGUUACAUCAAGAACAAGCUUUUGCUGACUUUUAUAUGUUUUCAGAACUACUUAGUGACUACAUUCGUCUUAUUGCUGCAGUGAAAGGUGUGUUUGACCAUCGAAUGAAGUGCUGGCAGAAAUGGGAAGAUGCUCAAAUUACUUUGCUCAAAAAACGUGAAGCUGAAGCAAAAAUGAUGGUUGCUAACAAACCAGAUAAAAUACAGCAAGCUAAAAAUGAAAUAAGAGAGUGGGAGGCGAAAGUGCAACAAGGAGAAAGAGAUUUUGAACAGAUAUCUAAAACGAUUCGAAAAGAAGUGGGAAGAUUUGAGAAAGAACGAGUGAAGGAUUUUAAAACCGUUAUCAUCAAGUACUUAGAAUCACUAGUUCAAACACAACAACAGCUGAUAAAAUACUGGGAAGCAUUCCUACCUGAAGCCAAAGCCAUUGCCUAGCAAUAAGAUUAUUGCCGUUAAGA
RNAcentral lists this small RNA (1412 nucleotides) under Pongo abelii (Sumatran orangutan). RNAcentral's name for it is "processed transcript". The record is from RNAcentral. Lineage: Eukaryota; Metazoa; Chordata; Mammalia; Primates; Hominidae.